UGUCCUCACCACGUUAGUGUCACCCAC
Molecule: non-coding RNA, 27 nt
Filed under: Rattus norvegicus (Norway rat)
Lineage: Eukaryota; Metazoa; Chordata; Mammalia; Rodentia; Muridae
Source: RNAcentral